CCUACGGGUGGCAGCCGUGGGGCAUAUUGCACAAUGGGGGAAACACUGAUGCAGCGACGCCGCGGGAGUGAAGAAGUAAUUCGUUAUGUCAAGCUCUAUCAGCAGGGAAGAAACAGACGGUACCUGCGUAAGAAGCCCCGGCUAACUACGUGCCAGCAGCCGCGGUAAUACGUAGGGGGCAAGCGUUAUCCGGAUUUACUGGGUGGAAAGGGAGCGUAGACGGCAAUGCAAGCCAGGAGGGAAAGCCCGGGGCCCACCCCCGGGACUGCUCUUGGAACUGCAUGGCGGGAGUACAGGAGGGGCAGGCGGAAGUCCUAGUGUAGCGGUGAAAUGCGUAGAUAUUAGGAGGAACACCGGUGGCGAAGGCGGCCUGCUGGACUGUGACUGACGUUGAGGCCCGAAGGCGUGGGGAGCAAACAGGAUUAGAUACCCCGGUAGUC
This 440-nucleotide ribosomal RNA is filed under the name uncultured bacterium. RNAcentral describes it as "partial 16S ribosomal RNA". It matches the Rfam family "Bacterial small subunit ribosomal RNA", at positions 338 to 795 of the family's 1533-position model. The record is from RNAcentral.